UACUAGAGUAGCACUCGCAUAUCAAUAAGCGGAGGAAAAGAAACUAACAAGGAUUCCCCUAGUAACGGCGAGUGAAGCGGGAAGAGCUCAAAUUUGAAAUCUUAAAGGGUUUCCCUUUACGAAUUGUAGUUUAAAGAAGUGUUUUCUGUUGAGGUUUUGGUAAAAGUUCUUUGGAAUAGGACAUCAUAGAGGGUGAGAAUCCCGUAUUUGACCUUUACUUUCAACUUUGUGAUACACUUUCAAAGAGUCGGAUUGUUUGGGAAUGCAGUCCAAAAUGGGUGGUAAAUUUCAUCUAAAGCUAAAUAUUGGCGAGAGACCGAUAGCGAACAAGUACCGUGAGGGAGAGAUGAAAAGAACUUUGAAAAGAGAGUUAAACAGUACGUGAAAUUGUCAAAAGGGAAGCGUUUGACACCAGUGUUGUUUUUCUGAAAAUCAAUUAAAGAACUGUUUAUGCUAAGCUGUUUAGACUUUAUCAGCUAUCUGUUUAGUUUUAGGCUUUUCUUUAAUGCACUUUUCAGUUAACAAGUCAACAUCAAUUUCUUUUGCUGUAAAAAAGCUUGAGGAAGGUGGCUUGAGAUUCGUCUUAAGUGUUUAUAGCCUCUUGCCUAUGCAGUCGGAGAGAUUGAGGUCUGCAGCGUAGAUCCUUCGGGGCUAAAUGCAUUUGUGCUAAGUUAUAGCAUUUUAUAGACAACUUGUUGACUAUGAUUUGUCUUGUAGCUUACUCGCUUAUGUUAUUUUACCUACGCUUAGGAUGUUGAGCGCAUGUCUCUCUCU
This 774-nucleotide ribosomal RNA is filed under the name uncultured Neocallimastigales. RNAcentral describes it as "partial large subunit ribosomal RNA". It matches the Rfam family "Eukaryotic large subunit ribosomal RNA", at positions 20 to 616 of the family's 3401-position model. The record is from RNAcentral. Lineage: Eukaryota; Fungi; Neocallimastigomycota; Neocallimastigomycetes; Neocallimastigales.